CUAAAAUCAUUAGAAACACUCACAAAUCUCCUGUUAUUCAAUUAACCAUUUACAAAACUUAUAUCAAAUCCAAUGUUAUUGAAAGGUAAACAUUAUUUUGAUAAAAAAGCUAUGAAUGGGAUUUGGGGAUACUUUGAGUUCAUUUUUAGUUAAAAAUGUCGCUGUGAAACUCCUACUUCUACAUGUGUUAUUUGGAGAGACUUCUAAAUAAAAAUAACACGACAUCUAUCCAAAGACGAACAAGAAAAUAUUUACAAAAGACAACUGAUGGCAGACUUAUUGUCUCUCUGCAACUUCAUUGGCAGAUACAAAACUUUAAUUUCAAUCCAAACCCAGAUAACCUCUGAUCACUUCAUCCAUGGAGAUCAUCUCAAACCCCAUAAAGCUUCUCCAUUUUAUCAAUUAUUGCUACUCUGUUCAUCUUCUUCUUCCUCUGCUUUUCUCCCGCCAUGGCUACUGAUGAAGAUGACAUAAGAUGCCUACGAGGAAUCCAGACCUGAUUCCUCUCUCACCGACCCUCAGAGAGUUCUCAAAUUAUGAAAUUUCGGCGGCGCGUCUUGUUGGAACAAUCAAGAGAACAUAGUCAUCAAUCUCGUGCUUUAAGACAUGGGUUUAUCUGGUCGGAUCCCAGAGUCUUUUCAAUAUUAUGGUAGCUUACAAAAGCUUGAUCGAUCUAGCAAUCAAUAGUCUGGUAACAUUCCUCCAAAGCUAUGUACUUGGUAACCGUUCUUGAUGUCCCUUGAUCUGUUUAAUAAUGAAUUGGAUGCUGGUGUGUUUGGAGUUUGAUGGUAUAUACGAGAAAGAGAGUAGUUAAAAACGAAGGAGUUAAUAUCUUAGCGCAGAGACUUAGCCAUAUGGUAGCGCAAGUCUCUUUGUUUAAGAAGCCUUUGGUUAAGGUUAAGCUUGGGGACUUGAUGGCUGCAACUAAUGGUUUCAGCUCUGAGAACAUUAUCUUUACAACUAAAACAGGAACAACGUAUAAGCUGAUUUUUCUUGAUGGCUCAGCACUUGCAGUGAAGCACUUGAGUGAGUGUAAGCUUGGGGAGAAGGAGUUUCGGUAUGAGAUGAAUCAGUUGUGGGAGCUGUGUAACCGUAACUUGUUCAGAAGUUCUUCUUCUCAGUAGUAGCACCUCCACCAGACCUCAUGAACACUAGACAUAUCCUCCCUCUUCCUCUUAGCAACCUUAAGAGCCCUCUUUCUUUACCAACUUUGAGAAGCCUCAAUGGUUUUCUCUCGUAAGGAGCAAAUUCAGUUAGUUCCAUUAUCAAUGAUCUGAUGAACCACAUUGUCUUCCUCGUUUUCCCUUUGCGAGAGUUACGAUACGGAGCAAACUCGUGUCUUGUAAACGAUGUGUCAUUUGUUCAAAAAAUAAUGAAACAACAUAGAUUAAUAAUAUCAAA
Raphanus sativus (radish) is the source of this 1401-nucleotide long non-coding RNA. RefSeq lists it as uncharacterized. The record is from RefSeq and is a predicted model, not a curated record. NCBI's taxonomy places the organism in Eukaryota, Viridiplantae, Streptophyta, Magnoliopsida, Brassicales, Brassicaceae. The transcript is spliced from 2 exons.